CACCGCGGUUAUACGAAAGGCUUAAACUGAUGCAUCACGGCGUAAAGCGUGAUUAGAAUAUUUAACACAAUAAAGCCAAACGCACCCCCAACUGUAAUACGCCUCCGGGAGACAGAAAAUCUAUAACGAAAGUAGCUUUAACACCUUUGAAUUCACGAUAGUUAAGAAA
This 169-nucleotide ribosomal RNA is filed under the name Eurypharynx pelecanoides (pelican eel). Its description in RNAcentral is "partial small subunit ribosomal RNA". RNAcentral also lists the same sequence under 1 other name. The record is from RNAcentral. Lineage: Eukaryota; Metazoa; Chordata; Actinopteri; Anguilliformes; Eurypharyngidae.